This is a long non-coding RNA of Heterocephalus glaber (naked mole-rat), 493 nucleotides long. RefSeq lists it as uncharacterized. Lineage: Eukaryota; Metazoa; Chordata; Mammalia; Rodentia; Bathyergidae. The record is from RefSeq and is a predicted model, not a curated record.
CAACGCAACACGCAGGCCGCCUCCUCUCUGGGAGUCAGUGACUGACUCCCAGGAUUCUUCAGUCACCAGCCUCAUCCUCGGUCUGCUCUCCUGCCCACGAAGCGCACUGAAGACCGCCGCACUUGCGGAAAGCUGACGUGGAAGGACGUUCUUCACCCCUGCCCACUUCUCUCACCCAGCCCCAGAUUUAUCAGUGAAGGCAGAUCUCAGCAAGAUGAUGUCGACACUGAUGCUUUGACUAAGGAACCAGAAGGAACCCUGGAAGAAGCAAGCACAGAAAAGGCCAUGUCACUGGAUCUUUCCAACGAGGGGCUACGUCCUGUCCCUUGCAGUCAAGAUCGAGGAGCAGGUGACACGUGCCCCGGAGUAGGGACAACUUGAUAUCAUGGCGGAAACACCUGGGAUCGUGCGUGCUACCGAAAUUCAGUUUAUUUUCCUACAUCUCCGGAAGAGAGUGGCGCACAAUUUUAAUAAAGAUAACCUGCGUCUCACC